UUGUCUGUAGGUGUGUGUGUAUGUGUGUAUGUCACCGGCUCCAUGAAUCCUCACCUGCUGCUGAUCACCGGCACACCUGUCCUCUAUCUACUCAUCAGUCUCCACAGCUUAUAUGCCAGACUCUUCCACUACACCGACGCCAGAUCGUCCCCGUACACUGAUUAUCCUGUGCUGGUGAUCAGCUCCUGUUGUUCUCUGGAUUCCUGUCUGCCUGUCUGCCUGCCUCUUCAGCCAUCUCCACCUUGCUUGUUCUCCACUGCUACACCCCGGUCCAAUAUCCAUGCUUGUUAUAAUAAAGUCUGAAUCAAGUGACUAAGCUA
Molecule: long non-coding RNA, 320 nt
Organism: Siniperca chuatsi (mandarin fish)
Lineage: Eukaryota; Metazoa; Chordata; Actinopteri; Centrarchiformes; Sinipercidae
Exons: 2
Source: RefSeq, a predicted model, not a curated record